Molecule: ribosomal RNA, 377 nt
Filed under: uncultured bacterium
Lineage: Bacteria
Description: bacterial SSU rRNA
Rfam family: Bacterial small subunit ribosomal RNA
Source: RNAcentral
GAUCAACGCUGGCGGCGUGCCUAACGCAUGUAAGUCGCGCGGCCGGUCGUUCGGACCGGCAGCGGCGAACGGCUGAGGAACACGUACGAACCUGCCCGACCGUGGGGAAUAACGCGCCGAAAGGCGUGCUAAUACCGCGUACGCUCGGCCUGCGGGCUGAGGAAAGCCGCGAGGCGCGGUCGGAGGGGCGUGCGGCCCAUCAGGUGGUUGGCGGGGUAACGCCCACCAAGCCGGUGACGGGUAGCNGGGUCUGUGAGGACGAUCAGCCAGACUGGGACUGAGACACGGCCCAGACACCUACGGGAGGCAGCAGUGGGGAAUUUUGGACAAUGGGCGCAAGCCUGAUCCAGCCAUUCCGCGUGCAGGAUGAAGGCCUU